This 71-nucleotide transfer RNA is filed under the name Ovis aries (sheep). It matches the Rfam family "tRNA". Rfam says of the family: Transfer RNA (tRNA) molecules are approximately 80 nucleotides in length. Their secondary structure includes four short double-helical elements and three loops (D, anti-codon, and T loops). Lineage: Eukaryota; Metazoa; Chordata; Mammalia; Artiodactyla; Bovidae. The record is from Rfam by way of RNAcentral.
UCCCAAUUGGCUCAGUCGGUACAGAAUCUGCCUGCAACGCAGGAGACCAGGGUUCAGUCCCUGGGUGGGGA